UACACUCCUGCGGGAGGCAGCAGUGGGGAAUAUUGGACAAUGGGCGCAAGCCUGAUCCAGCCAUGCCGCGUGAGUGAUGAAGGCCCUAGGGUUGUAAAGCUCUUUCACCGGAGAAGAUAAUGACGGUAUCCGGAGAAGAAGCCCCGGCUAACUUCGUGCCAGCAGCCGCGGUAAUACGAAGGGGGCUAGCGUUGUUCGGAAUUACUGGGCGUAAAGCGCACGUAGGCGGAUCGAUCAGUCAGGGGUGAAAUCCCAGGGCUCAAACCUGGAACUGCCUUUGAUACUGUCGAUCUGGAGGAAGGAAGAGGUGAGUGGAAUUCCGAGUGUAGAGGGGAAAUUCGUAGAUAUUCGGAGGAACACCAGUGGCGAAGGCGGCUCACUGGUCCAUUACUGACGCUGAGGUGCGAAAGCGUGGGGAGCAAACAGGAUUAGAUACCCUUGUAGUCCCAUGA
RNAcentral lists this ribosomal RNA (452 nucleotides) under uncultured organism. RNAcentral describes it as "partial 16S ribosomal RNA". It matches the Rfam family "Bacterial small subunit ribosomal RNA", at positions 332 to 800 of the family's 1533-position model. The record is from RNAcentral.